RNAcentral lists this ribosomal RNA (435 nucleotides) under uncultured bacterium. Its description in RNAcentral is "partial 16S ribosomal RNA". It matches the Rfam family "Bacterial small subunit ribosomal RNA", at positions 28 to 507 of the family's 1533-position model. The record is from RNAcentral.
GAUGAACGCUGGCGGUAUGCUUAACACAUGCAAGUCGAACGGACUCUUCGGCGUUAGUGGCGGUUGGGUGAGUAACGCGUGAGAAUCUGGCAUUGGGUUCGGGACAACCACUGGAUACGGUGGCCAAUCCCGGAUGUGCCGCGAGGUAAAAGAGAAAUUGCCUGAAGAUGAGCUGGCGUCUGAUUAGCUAGUUGGUGAGGUAAAGGCUCACCAAGGCAGCGAUCAGUAGCUGGCCGGAAAGGAUGACCGGCCACACUGGGACUGAGACGCGGCCCAGACGCCUACUGGAGGAAGCAGGGGAGAAUUAUCCACAAAUGGCGAAAGCCUGACGGAGCAAUACCGCGUGAGGAAAGAAGGCUCUUGGGUGGAAAAGCACUUUGCUUAGGGAAGAACAAAAUGACGGUACCUAAAGAAUCAGCAUCGGCUAACUCCGUG